Molecule: non-coding RNA, 390 nt
Filed under: Pan troglodytes (chimpanzee)
Lineage: Eukaryota; Metazoa; Chordata; Mammalia; Primates; Hominidae
Also listed under: 1 other name
Source: RNAcentral
GUCAAAAUCCUCCUAAAAAGCAAGCCGGUUCCAAAUUCCAUGCGAGACCUCGUUUUGAGCCUGUACAUUUUGUAGCUAGUAGUUCAAAAGAUGAAAGACAGGAAGAUCCUUAUGGCCCUCAAACAAAAGAGGUAAAUGAACAAACACAUUUUGCCAGCAUGCCAAGAGACAUCUACCAAGAUUAUACUCAAGACUCUUUCAGUAUACAAGAUGGGAAUUCUCAGUAUUGUCAGUUGGCUGGUCCCUCUCUCAAAAAGCUUAUUAAGCCUGAAAAGCCAACUUUGUAACAUAUUUAAAACUGCUAUUUUCGCUUAUUUCUGGAAUGUAAAAAAAAAAAAUGUAUAAAAAGAAUUAGUGUAUGCUUCCUGAAUAAAAAGGAGCCAAAGUUGA